Molecule: ribosomal RNA, 252 nt
Filed under: uncultured bacterium
Lineage: Bacteria
Description: partial 16S ribosomal RNA
Rfam family: Bacterial small subunit ribosomal RNA
Source: RNAcentral
GACGGGGGGUGCAAGCGUUGUUCGGAAUCAUUGGGCGUAAAGCGUGUGCAGGUGGCUCUGCAAGUCAGAUGUGAAAGCCCAGGGCUUAACCCUGGAAGUGCAUUUGAAACUGCAGAGCUUGAGUAUGGAAGAGGGUCGUGGAAUUCCAGGUGUAGUGGUGAAAUACGUAGAUAUCUGGAGGAACACCGGUGGCGAAGGCGGCGACCUGGUCCAAUACUGACACUCAUACACGAAAGCGUGGGGAUCAAACAG